Rhincodon typus (whale shark) is the source of this 5127-nucleotide long non-coding RNA. RefSeq lists it as uncharacterized. NCBI's taxonomy places the organism in Eukaryota, Metazoa, Chordata, Chondrichthyes, Orectolobiformes, Rhincodontidae. The transcript has 3 exons. The record is from RefSeq and is a predicted model, not a curated record.
UAUCUCUGAGGUGAGUCUUGUUUAGUGUCUGGUCAAUGGUAACCCCCAGGAUGCUAAUUGUGGGGGAUAUUCGGUGAUGGUGAUCUCGUCCAGUUGCACUCCUGUACAAAUGUUUUAUUUAAAUAAUGUAUUCUGCAUUUAAGGCGUUGAGUUUUACAAUGUGGAGUUGAAUAUUUUGAAUCAUUCUCAGCGGCCCUUGGUAAAAAUUCCAACGGUGCAUCAGGAAAUUGAAAUUUGAUUGUUCUUGUAAGGACAGUGUGGUGAAGGAGUAGAAGCUCCGGCUGUUCACAUUCAUCAAAACUAAAAGCUUGGAACCCGCUUACUGUCUCUGCAUCAGUGGAUUUGUUGUGAUCAGUUUUCACAGAAUGAAACCAUUUCUCACAUGCUCCCUGGUACAGAACUCAAUGAAGGGAAAUGAUCUUUAUGCGAUACGUUAGUUCACAAUUCACUUCAGUCUGCUGGAUAGUAACCCUGCUUAAAAUUGGUUUCUUUGAUCAAACAGGUACACAGAAAAUGAGCGACAAUGAAGAAAAUUCUCCGACACAAGGGGAAGAUAAGGAGAGUAAUGAACACAUACCCUAUAUUGAUGAAUGUGAAGACGAGAGUGGACAAUGAAGACACGACUUGACAGAUUACAAGACAGGUCAAUGUCAGUGAAAACAGAAUGUCACUCUUUUAGACCUCCAGAAAGUGGAUGGUACAAUUUUGUGCUUGAGUUUAGAUCGCCAUCUUGUUCAGUUUUGUGUGUCCAAAUUCUGGGUUGUAUUAUGUUUCGUAAUUGUAAUUUUUGAGGGAAAUAUUUUGGCCUAAUAUUGUGCUUCUAAAUGAUACUUUUACUGCCUGCAACUGGUGUUCGAUUGAUCAGUAGAAAUUAGAUCCGAUAUCAUAUCAGCUUCACAACAGAAGAAUGCCUAACUGUGUUCAUCCCCAUUAAUGCCAGGUAUGUCACACUUUUGAUCCCUGAGUAAAUUUUUACUUAAACCUUGAGCGUGAAGCUGCCAUAAGAGUACAAUACCGAGAGAUCUUGGCCCCAUUCAGUCGGUCAUACUUGUCCCAUUGCUGUUCAGAUGUCUACACAAGGUCAAUGGCCAAUUGCUUCUCUUUUGGGAGAUGGUGCAUGAAUUAAAAAGUUGUUUCACUUCCUUUCUUUUUCCUCCUCUGGCAAUUGCUUGAUACCGCAGUAAAGUUGGUUCCCAGUGUAAAGAUGAAGCAAGAAUGAAAAUUGAGUUGUGGGAUUGGCCAGUGAGGUUGAAGGUGACUUGUCGAAUUUGAGAGGGACACAGAUUUGGCAAAUAAAGGACAAACCAGUUGAUGGGAUAGGUGCUAAGUCUGGUCUCUUUAUGUUUCACUUCUCCUUUAGCAAUCCUUUAGCUUUUUGUACCUUGUUAACUCCCUCCUGGCACACAAAUUGACAGGGUUUGCUGUCUUUGACAGCUCCUCAUAUGCUGAUGUCAAUCUUUCUCUAUUUUGUAUUCUUUUUCUUUUCCUUAAUAUCUUUACAAUACAUGGGCAUCACUGUUGUGGCCAGCACUGAAUAGAAUUCCCUUCCUAAACCUGUCUGCCCCUGAUCUCCACUCCUUUGAGACCGAAUUGAAACCUGCUGCUUUGAUCAAUUAUGCCUCCUUAGGUUUCAGAAAUUGAGUGAUUGCUGUUCCUGUGAAACACCUUGGGACGUUUUACUGCUUUGUAAGGUUAAAGUCAUCAUUGUCUCAGAGGACCAACAGGGCUAUUCUCCUAGUUCACCAUACUGUCCUGAUAAUUCCAUUGGAGAUAGGGCAGUGUUAUCUCUACAUUAUCACUAACAGCUUUGCUUCAGAUGCACUGCACUGAGAAAGUAAAUCUUCUCCCAAAAUAUUUCCAAGAUUUUCUUUUCCUUGAAGUAGCUUUUGAUUUCUCAGAACACCAAGGAGUUUGAACAGCAAAGUCAAAAGUUGUGAUGAUUGUGAGGGGGAUUAACUCCAUUUGCUAAAAGAGAAUCUGAAAUCCUGAUCAUGGCUACACAUCGUUCUGAUCAAUUGAUCAUAAAUUUUUGGUUGACUUGAGAAAUCACAGUGCAACUAACAUGACUCGCUGUUUGCUAACAGUGAUUGGCUUGCAAUUGAGAAGUUGUUUGCAAAUCCUUAAUGCAUAUCUGAAAACUCCAAAGCUGGAGGAUAAUGUUUCUGAUAAGCUUGAAAUAAUUCAGUAUUUAUACAGAGCCAUUCACUGCUAUCAACUGGGAUCUCAUGCUUAAGUGACUAAAAUAUUCAUCAGUAGCUCUAGAGAGUCAGAUUUCCUUUACCAAGGCCCUCACUGCCAUAUAUCAAAGUUCAUUUGACAGGAUGAGUGUUAGUUAAUGUUCCUCCCAGUCUUCUCUCACUCAUUGUCAAUACAGAGUUGCUCAUUCAGGCUGGAGAGGUGAAAUAUGGAUCCAUGAAUGCUUUUCUCUUGUCCCUCCCAUUAUGGUCUCUAAGGAGAGGUCUUUUAAUCUUCUUCUGCAGCUGUCACUUUGACUUAUUCUAGUAUCUCUCACGUUAGAGGUCUGAAACAUUACACAAAAAACAUCUGCUACCCUAACCCCCAACAUUUUGCAUAUUGGUCCUACAGAAUUGCACUUCAAAAAGACCCCUGAGAUUUCACAUUUGAAAGAUAUACAUUUUAUUGCCCUUGGCCCAUAUUUAUUUACCUAAAAACACUGCACCACUCAUAUGGACUAUGCAGGAGAUUGUUAUUUAAUGAUGGCGGUAAGUGAAGCUAGUAAUUACUAGAAUCAACUUUGUUUCCUGCUGGAAUAGAUGGAUAUAAAGUUUUGUGAUGUACAGUACAUUAUUAUAUUACCUCCCUGGCAAAUUACAGCUGAUAUAAUGGGGGCUAUCAAAAUGAAUGAAACUCAACAGAGUUAAAGUGUAAGAGUGAUUGUUCUCAAUAUGAAGCCAGGACGCAGCAAAGUUCAGCUUCAAAUAACUGUCAUUAAAUCAGAAAAAUGGAAUGCUUGCUGUUCAGGUAGAGGCCAUCCUGCCCAUCAACUCCAUGCCAGCUCUCUGCAAGGACAACUCGGCUCAUCACACUCUUCCGUCCUUUCCCUGGAACUCUGCAAACCCUCUAUCUCCUGGCAGCUGCUCAGCACCCUUCUGAAAGCCACCCUCCCAGGCACUGCAUGUGGAAUUCCGCUGGAAGCUGAAGCACUUGGCUCCCUCCUCCAAGAUUGCGUUCCCCACAUAGUAGCAGACGCUCACUGGUCUGGACCUCCCAGGAGCCAAUGGUUCUGAAUUUGUUGUUACCGAAAAGAGAAGGACAAGGUAAUUUCUAAACAAGGAAUGAUCGUGGUCCAUCUACAGUCUAACACGUACCAUCCUGGGGAUCAUACAAUACAAAAUAGUUGAAAUGUUGAUAGUGACCUGUCUCUCUCAAUGAGUCUACAACUGACUCAGAUGUGAGGUGAGGAACCCACUCCACUCCUACCAAGUGUUGGAGACCACUGGGACUCAUAGACCCAAAGUCACAUGUUAUUCUCAAUCUUGCUUCACUCACCAUGUCUUAAAUGUUUUGGAUCCCAACGUGUUACUUUCUGAAGAAGUCCACCACAUUUGCAUCCAAAUACCUUGAUACUCACAGUUUCUAUCACCUCUCACAGGAACCUGUUCUGUAUAUUGAUCACUGACCUACUGAGAGAUUGCAUUGUACAUGAACAUGUGAAUGUACCAUCCAAUGUUGACCCCCAACCCUCAGGCUGUAUACUUGUCUUCUCUUGUUCCAGACAGAGUGUAAGUAGCUCUCUAGCCUUCAAAUGCUAAAAGCAGCAGUCAUAUCACCAAAGCAUAAUGGGCUGAAUGGCCUCCUUCCAUGAUGUUUACUUCUAUAUUAUCUCUCAGUUGUUCUCUUACUCACCAUCAACAUGCACAAAUGAGAAUAAGCUUCUGAUCAGGUCCCCCGUUCUGCACUAUCCUUUCAUCCAGCAGCUAUCCCUUGUAUUCCAAGUGGUCGUCUCAGAAACACUCAUUUUUAAAACUGAAUUUCAACACUUUUAGAAAUAAAAUAACUUUAUUGACAGUUCAUUUAUUUUUUUUUCUCAAAUUGACUUGGGCAUUUCUUUUAAAAUAGGAAAAGGUCCAGCCAAUUGACAAGGAGAUCAUUGAGGGAAUUAAGUACGGCUUGUUGUAUAGUGGUCAGUUCCUCUGUAUUAAUUGGCACCUCACUUGUUAUAGGACUGGCUAAUCUUGGCAGCUAAUGUUGGGCUCUUUGGAAGAGGUAGUGCUCUUGUGUUUAACUGUUUUGCUCAAGGAUACGCUGUCUGGGAGAAGGUUCAUAGACUCGCAGGAUGAUGGAGCACACAGGGAGGCCACUCAGCCCCUUGUGUCCCGUGCCAGCUCCCUAUUAAAGCUAACUCUCUGAACAGGCUGUAACCCUCGACUCAGAUUAACAUUUGGCAGAAUUCAACCCUGUUGUCCCUGAGAUUGGCGUCUCAUGGCGGCGAACACUGGGGUGAGAGGGAUGGUAGAAAUCACAGGGAGGGGAGCUUGAGGUAGGUCUUGACUUCAUGUUGGCAAUGUAAAAAGGACGUUAAUAGAUGAGCAGCCCACUUGACAUCCCACCUGACAAAUAUAAAAUAAUACCAAAAGGGCUAUCAGAUGUGCUGCAUCAUCACUGAAAGUCUAUCCCAUUCAAAUGUCAUGUGAUCUGAUAUGAAACCCUGAUCCAAAUCUACUGUUCAAACCUCCAAAUUUAUCCAAUUUAAAACAAAAAUGUUCCAAACACACACUGUGCCAGUUUUAUGGAUUCUGUAAAGCUGCCUCUUGCAGUGCAUGCUUGCUUUGCUUUAGACUAUGUUUAGAUAGAUGUUUUACUUUCCAUAGACUUUUCAGGAAUACAGUUUUUGUUUCCUUGGAUGCUUUAAGAUUUGCCUUACCUCAUGGUAUGUAAUAGUAACUGGCAGUUGUUUCUUGUAAACUUGAGGCAAGUGGAUCAAAUUGGAAAGUAUCUUCCUGAUCCUAAUGCCUUGUUGUCAACCUGUUAAGUAGCCAGCAUUACACCUUCGAAACAAAAGGUUUUUUCCUCUUCAUCUCUCUCUGUGCCAUGAACUUGGGAUGUUGCCAAAACAAAAUGAUACCUUCACACUUUGUCUGUUUAAUAAAAUGAACGGUAAUAGCA